CCUAGCACCAGCCCUACCUCCCCAUCCCCCAAAUCUCCAUCUCCUCAGUACCCUCAUCACCCUCCUGGGACCUCACCAUCACCAGCAUCAGUGGCUAACCCUCCAGCCACCUCACCAUCACCAGUAGUGGCUAGCCCUCCUGCCACCUCCCCAUCACCAGUGGGCUACCCUCCUGCCACCUCCCCAUCGCCAGUGGGCUACCCUCCUGCCACCUCACCAUCACCAGUGGGCUACCCUCCUGCCACCUCACCAUCACCAGUGGGAUACACUCCUGCCACCUCACCAUCCCCAUCAACAACAACAUCUCCAGCGCUAGCGCCAGGUCCAUCUUCAUCCCUUACACCAUUUCCUUCUCCACCCUCACCGCCCCCCGAGGGGCCCACACCGCCCUCCGAGGGGCCCACACCGGC
This 410-nucleotide long non-coding RNA is filed under the name Prunus persica (peach). RNAcentral describes it as "long non-coding RNA (PPER_LNC004148)". The record is from RNAcentral. Lineage: Eukaryota; Viridiplantae; Streptophyta; Magnoliopsida; Rosales; Rosaceae.